Long non-coding RNA from Gadus morhua (Atlantic cod), 294 nucleotides. RefSeq lists it as uncharacterized. The record is from RefSeq and is a predicted model, not a curated record. NCBI's taxonomy places the organism in Eukaryota, Metazoa, Chordata, Actinopteri, Gadiformes, Gadidae. The transcript is spliced from 3 exons.
UGCAUUUGACUCCCAGGAAGGAAGGAAGAGCUUGAACACCAUUGUUCUAGUUAUUAACUUAAACUGCAGGCACAGAAGUUUCCACAGACUUUUUCUGUCACACCAGCUACCUCCUCUACAAACAACGCCCUGAGAGAAACAAAUUAUGAAUCUUAGAACAGCUGCAAGAGGCUUUGUAGCUUUCCUUCUGUCAUUACCAGCUCAGUGUUCAGCAUGUAUCUCUAGUUGAAGCUGCACCAAGCCUCCAUCUCAUAUGUACCUUGUGAUCAUGCAUUUCAUCUGAAACAUCAUUGU